RNAcentral lists this ribosomal RNA (789 nucleotides) under uncultured organism. Its description in RNAcentral is "bacterial SSU rRNA". It matches the Rfam family "Bacterial small subunit ribosomal RNA", at positions 66 to 830 of the family's 1533-position model. The record is from RNAcentral.
GAGAAAGGAUAUCUUCGGAUAUCUGAUUACACUGGCGGAUGGGUGAGUAACGCGUAGGCAACCUACCUUCAGGUUUGGGAUAGCACUGCUAACGCGGUGCUAAUACCAGAUGGUGCAUAUACACUGCAUGGUGUAUAUGUUAAAGCUGGCCACUGAUAUAAGCUAGUACCUGUAGAUGGGCUUGCGUUUCAUUAGUUAGUUGGUGGGGUAAUGGCUCACCAAGGCGACGAUGGAUAGCCGGCCUGAGAGGGUGAUCGGCCACACUGGGACUGAGAUACGGCCCAGACUCCUACGGGAGGCAGCAGUGAGGAAUAUUGCGCAAUGGCAGAAAUGCUGACGCAGCAACGCCGCGUGAGGGAUGAAGCUUUUCGGAGUGUAAACCUUUGUUAGGAGGGACGAACGGGCAUAAUACGAAUAGGGUUAUGCCGUGACGGUACCUCCAGAGGAAGCCCCGGCUAACUCCGUGCCAGCAGCCGCGGUAAUACGGGGGGGGCAAGCGUUGUCCGGAAUCAUUGGGCGUAAAGGGCGCGUAGGCUGACAGGUCAGUCUGUGGUGCAAUCUUGUGGCUUAACCGUAAGUUUGCCAUGGAAACUACCUGUCUUGAGAUCGGAAGGGGGAAGCGGAAUUCCUGGUGUAGCGGUGAAAUGCGUAGAUAUCAGGAAGAACACCGGUGGCGAAGGCGGCUUCCUGGUCCGAGACUGACGCUGAUGCGCGAAAGCGUGGGGAGCGAACAGGAUUAGAUACCCUGGUAGUCCACGCUGUAAACGAUGGGCACUAGGUGUUGGGCGU